Molecule: non-coding RNA, 180 nt
Filed under: Clostridium tetanomorphum
Lineage: Bacteria; Bacillati; Bacillota; Clostridia; Eubacteriales; Clostridiaceae
Source: RNAcentral
AUUUUAUAUUUAAAUAUAGGUGCUAAUUUAUGGAUUAGUGAAAAGGGAAGUAGGUGAAAGUCCUACACGGUCCCGCCGCUGUAACAGAGGAGUUUAACUAUAUUACCACGGAGUUUACCGGAAGGGUAGUUUAAAUUAUGAUACUGAAGUCAGAAGACCUGCCUAUAUUUUGUUACACUU